Molecule: ribosomal RNA, 523 nt
Filed under: uncultured bacterium
Lineage: Bacteria
Description: partial 16S ribosomal RNA
Rfam family: Bacterial small subunit ribosomal RNA
Source: RNAcentral
UGGGGAAUAUUGCACAAUGGGCGCAAGCCUGAUGCAUCCAUGCCGCGUGUGUGAAGAAGGCCUUCGGGUUGUAAAGCACUUUCAGCGAGGAGGAAGGUGGUGAACUUAAUACGUUCAUCAAUUGACGUUACUCGCAGAAGAAGCACCGGCUAACUCCGUGCCAGCAGCCGCGGUAAUACGGAGGGUGCAAGCGUUAAUCGGAAUUACUGGGCGUAAAGCGCACGCAGGCGGUUUGUUAAGUCAGAUGUGAAAUCCCCGGGCUCAACCUGGGAACUGCAUUUGAAACUGGCAAGCUAGAGUCUCGUAGAGGGGGUGAGAAUUCCAGGUGUAGCGGUGAAAUGCGUAGAGAUCUGGAGGAAUACCGGUGGCGAAGGCGGCCCCCUGGANGAAGACUGACGCUCAGGUGCGAAAAGCGUGGGGAGCAAAACAGAUUAGNUACCCCUGGUAGUCACGCUGUAAAACGAUGUCGAUUUUGGAGGUUGUGCCCUUGAGGCGUGGNUUCCGGAGCUAACGNGUUAAAUGA